UUAAAAGAUAGGUAAAAGGCAUACCACAAAACUUUGAAUUUUGAAUUAUGGGUUCAAAUCCCCUUCUUUUAAAC
Molecule: transfer RNA, 74 nt
Filed under: Amphiura sinicola
Lineage: Eukaryota; Metazoa; Echinodermata; Ophiuroidea; Amphilepidida; Amphiuridae
Description: tRNA-Gln
Rfam family: tRNA
About the family: Transfer RNA (tRNA) molecules are approximately 80 nucleotides in length. Their secondary structure includes four short double-helical elements and three loops (D, anti-codon, and T loops). Further hydrogen bonds mediate the characteristic L-shaped molecular structure. tRNAs have two regions of fundamental functional importance: the anti-codon, which is responsible for specific mRNA codon recognition, and the 3' end, to which the tRNAs corresponding amino acid is attached (by aminoacyl-tRNA synthetases). tRNAs cope with the degeneracy of the genetic code in two manners: having more than one tRNA (with a specific anti-codon) for a particular amino acid; and 'wobble' base-pairing, i.e. permitting non-standard base-pairing at the 3rd anti-codon position.
Source: RNAcentral